CCCUUAGAUGUCCUGGGCCGCACGCGCGUUACACUGAUGCAUUCAACGAGCUUAUAACCUUGGCCGAGAGGCCUGGGCAAUCUUGUUAACGUGCAUCGUGAUAGGGAUAGAUUAUUGAAAUUAUUAAUCUUGAACGAGGAAUUCCUAGUAAACGCGAGUCAUCAGCUCGCAUUGAUUACGUCCCUGCCCUUUGUACACACCGCCCGUCGCACCUACCGAUUGAAUGUUUCGGUGAAGAUUCCGGAUAGGACUUUUUUGAUUUAUUUCAAUUUUGUCUUAAAAGCUAUCUAAACCUCAACAUUUAGAGGAAGGUGAAGUCGUAACA
This 325-nucleotide ribosomal RNA is filed under the name uncultured eukaryote. Its description in RNAcentral is "partial 18S ribosomal RNA". It matches the Rfam family "Eukaryotic small subunit ribosomal RNA", at positions 1470 to 1796 of the family's 1831-position model. The record is from RNAcentral.